AAGGACCUUUGUCACGGAUAGAUCGACUGUUCAAUUUAUAUAUAAAGGAUAUUAAGCCAUUAACAAGCAGCUGAAUUCGAGAAUAACUACUCCUGUUUUCGUGUGGUUGCGUGAUCAACUGGCUGAAGUUUUCCCAACCACUGAAAAAGAUUUGUGGUACAUAGAAC
RNAcentral lists this unclassified non-coding RNA (167 nucleotides) under Trichogramma pretiosum. RNAcentral describes it as "glucose dehydrogenase [FAD, quinone]-like, transcript variant X1". The record is from RNAcentral. Lineage: Eukaryota; Metazoa; Arthropoda; Insecta; Hymenoptera; Trichogrammatidae.